Molecule: long non-coding RNA, 2665 nt
Filed under: Mus pahari (shrew mouse)
Lineage: Eukaryota; Metazoa; Chordata; Mammalia; Rodentia; Muridae
Description: lncRNA (MGP_PahariEiJ_G0002732.1)
Source: RNAcentral
ACCAGCCUGCGUCUCCGGAGUCUCCAGGUUCACUCGGGAUCGAAGGACAUACGUGAUCACCUGUAGCCCCGGGCCCCCGCGCAGCAGCCGGGCCCGCUCCGCGCAGCCCCCAUCCCUCGCUAGCCGUCGCGUCCAAGGACGCUGGCAGAUCUGGGUUGGCGGCGAUGUCACCAGAUGGCUGAGACCACAAGGCGACUCACUCGGCUGCGUCACGGCCCGCUGUAGCGGCUGUGCAGCAGAGGGAGUCCGAGUCAGGUCCGCUGGGCUCUCGCCGCGCACUACACCCGCCCGCGUCCCCAGCUUCCGGCGCCUCAGCCCACAGAAGAGCAUACCCUAGAUUCUCGAUUCCCGGACUGGUAGCAAGCAGAAAUGAGGAGGGCCCAACCGCGCCCGAGGCCUUAAAUACUAAUGGGGGGCGGAGUGUCGGGAGGAGUCUGAAGGCCAGGGUGCGGCCGCUCCCGAGUAGGAAAAGGAACAGUAAGGCCAGGUCACCGCCUGCAGCCCUACAAUCUAGCCUAUCCUCUGGCUCUUGGCCACUUUGCAUCAGAUUGGGCAGCUGAUCUUUCCGGUACUUUCUGGAUGCUUUGGCUACCUCCACUUAGCGUUGCCAGAAGUGUGCCAGCACUUAGUGGAUGGACAUACUUGUAACAAAGCAGAACAUAAGUUUAAAGUGAGGAAGGAAGACUUUUAACUAUGGGGCUGGAGGUAGAGAUCUUAUUCAGCAGGCACAAAAAAAUAAAAUAAAAUAAAAUAAAGACAGGUGGUCAAUGCCUGUGUCCCAACGUAGCCUUCUCAGCUUUGAGUAGGCCUUUCCCAGCCUUGAAAAGACUGAGCAGUAUUCCCAGCCUUCAGCAAGCUAAGCAGACCUUAACACCCCUGGACACAGGCAUCUGUCUUGGCUGCAGUUGCAGGUACCCAUGGGAACUUUGAUGUUUUUGCUGCCUGCGCCGACCUUGCUGCUACAACAUACUCCAGCUGAAGAAGUGGAUGGAUUUUGUGUUUUUUUUCCUUUAUAAACACAAAGCUUAUUAUUAAACUUUGAGCCUUGAUCAGAACCUUUGUCUUGGCUUCAUCCUUCUCUCGCUCCUUUUCCUUAUUUCUAGCCCCCCUUUCAGGUAAACCCAGUUCAACCAUGGCUGCUGGCUGGAUGGCUACAGAUGGACUUGAAAACGGGAGUGGGGAUGAGGGGGGGAGAAGUGCUGUCUUGGGUGGAGCUCCACAGAAAACAGAAGAAAAGUGAAAGUAUCCACGAAGCACUGUAAGCAGCAUAAAGAAUCAAUGCUAGCGCUAGCCAUAAAUUUUAUUUUUUGAAACUCUUGCUAUAAAAAAGUGCUUUCAGAGGGAUACAGGCUAGGCUGAAGAUGUGUUGGCCCGACACCUACUUCGCCUAAGGUGUGGCAGCGUAAUGGGGCAAGGGAAUUCUAAACAGGCAGAAAAAUUCUUAGCUCAUGUACAUUUAUGUUGUCCUUAAUUCCCAGAAGUAAGAAUGGUAAAUAUAUAAACGAAAGAAUUAGUCAAGUUGAGGAGGAAUUGAGGAAGUUAUAAAAGCAGGGCGCUGGGGAGCAACGAUCAGUAACUACCACUGUGCCUCCUCUCCCUUCUCUGGCAGAAUUCCCAGAAGGAGAUAGAGUUAGGCCUUGAACAUGAGAGAGAGAAAGAGAGAAUAGGUUUCAGAAAUGGAGUUGUCCCCUGUCCGGGACGUUUUAGCAAAAGAGAAGGAAAAUAGAUAUAAGCUAUUUCAGAGCUCUCCUAGGGACUGGAGGAAAUUGGGAUGAGAAGCAUCCUGCUUCCUCUAUGGCUUCUACUGGAGAUAUACUUAGUUCUGUUUAGGAUAUCUGGGUCCCUUUGAGACAUCAAGUUCUAUUCCCUCUCUGUCUAAUGUCUGUCCUUGGAAUAACAAUCUGUCCAUAUGUCUGUCAAUUUAUGUUUGUUUUUGUUUUGUUGUUUGAAUGAUUGUUGUUCUGUGUUUCAUGUUGAAAAAAAAAAAGGUUAAAACUUUAUCUGCUGGCUGUCCAUCCUUUGAUUUAGUUUAACUUGUUUAAAAGGCAAUUUGCACAGCAGAAACUGAUAAGUUACACUGCACUGUGGCUAGGAGUCAAGUACAGCUGAAAAAGCCCUGCUAGAGGCUGAUUAUCUACACAAGCAGCUCUUAAAGGGACCAACAGCUUUUUGCUUGUAACAGAAAGUCAGCUUAAAAUUGGUAACUCAGGUUUGGAGUCAUUCUAAACACUACUUGGCAUGAACCAACCCAGGAAAACAGAUCUUUAAAAAUACUUCUAAAUUGGGAUAAUAUUUUAUGUAAUUCUUAUCCUAGAAACUAGACUUAUAAAGGAUAGGAUUUAAGACACUGUCUCUUUAAUGAUGUAUUAAAGUUACACUGUCAUGCAUUCAUAUAUAAGAACUGGCAGCCAAACUUUGUAUGUGAAAGUAAUGCUCUUUGUAUUGAUUUUAAAGAGAAUGGUUGUUUAAAAUAGGUUUAAAAUAGGUUUUUUUUUUAAAAUUAUGGGCAUGCUCUAAUAUUGCAAAAGAAACUUAAAAAUAGUUAAACUGCCAAUAUUCCAUUAGCUGCAGUUUACAAUUCAAUCACAAGCUCAAGAUUUUAACUCAUCCAUAUUUGUAAUUAAGAAAAAAACAAGCAAGUAGAGACAUUUCUAAGGGAAAUUAU